UACAGAGGUCCCGAGCGUUGUUCGGAUUCACUGGGCGUAAAGGGUGCGUAGGUGGUGAGGUAAGUCGGAUGUGAAAUCUCCAGGCUCAACCUGGAAACUGCAUUGGAAACUACCUUGCUGGAGGAUUUGAGGGGGGAUUGGAAUACUUGGUGUAGCAGUGAAAUGCGUAGAUAUCAAGUGGAACACCAGUGGCGAAGGCGAGUCCCUGGACAAUUCCUGACACUGAGGCACGAAAGCUAGGGGAGCAAACAGG
Molecule: ribosomal RNA, 253 nt
Filed under: uncultured bacterium
Lineage: Bacteria
Description: partial 16S ribosomal RNA
Rfam family: Bacterial small subunit ribosomal RNA
Source: RNAcentral